Molecule: non-coding RNA, 2981 nt
Organism: Xyrichtys novacula (pearly razorfish)
Lineage: Eukaryota; Metazoa; Chordata; Actinopteri; Labriformes; Labridae
Source: the annotation of a GenBank genome assembly
CUCGCCUCAUCUCCCAAGGCUGCUGUGCUCAACAACUGGCACCUCAAGACGCUGUUUGCCACACAAGCUGGCCCGCGCGUGUGCCAGCGUGGUCUGGUAGCUGUUUUGACGAAGUAAUGAUCUGUGUUUGAAUCAGCCCAGUGCAGGUCUGAGCUCUCUUACCGUAAUAAGGCCCAUAAGGGGGAGGGACCUCUCUUGGACUCGUUCAGACCCUCCAUUAUGCUGAGAGGCCAAGGUUACAGUAAGUGUCCCCCAGCCGUGACCACUAAUGCUGGCUGGCUAAUCCAAAGGUUCAGACCCUGACCUCACCAAGCCAACUCAGCUAUCGCCAGGGAGAAUGUCAAUAUUGAUCCUGUUGGCCCAUUGUCUGCUGCCUGGAACCACUCACCCCCUGUGUUGCUAUAAAGAAAUCUGAUUUGGAACCAAAAAAAGACCCUUAAUUUCUUUCCUGUCAACCUCACUCUCACUUUUAUUUUCUUCUUUUCUGUUUAUUUUCCCGGGUCUCUGCUGCCCAGUCCAAAGAAACAGCUGCCUAACCAACUGAGAGGGAGACCAAAUUCCUGUUCUUGCUCUCCUCUUGGCCUGAGUAGACCCCACAUGAAAGUUGGGAAAUCAGAUUCUGGUGUUUGCUGAGAAAAAACAAAAUCCAUUCCUGCUCUCCUGCUGUUCUUUGUCACGGGGAUACCCUGUGCCUCCUCAAGUCUCACACACACACAUGUCAUCAGUACACACUGUACCCAACCCCUAAAUCAUUUGGCAUUAGGGCGCUGACAUAUUACUCUGUUAAGUGCCUGCUGACAGUACACUUAUAUUGUGUUUUUGACAUUUUAAACACCGCUAAUCCAAGUCAGAAAUGUGACAACGUUUUAUAGAGCACCAACAGAAACUGAGACACGCUUGGUUAAUGAGCUAAUCUCUUGCUCACACAGAUGGAUUUCUCUUAGUCAUUUUAGCUCUUUAUGAGAAACAAAUAAACAGGAAAAACUCAUUAGCUGAUAACAAGAAAUCACCCGGGCAGGAGAAGCAGAACAAUAAAUGAUGUCAUAGCAGAAAAACCUUCAGUGUGACACGAUAAUGUGUCAACAGGCUGGUUCCUUAGUCAUCCGCAUGUUCUGGUAAGUGGUGUUUCCUGAAAUAAUUUCUCCUCUGAUGGAAUAGAAAUAAAGAUGAUAUAUUAGAUUAAACUCAUCAUGAUAACUUGUGAUUACAAGAUAAUUGGUGAUAUUAUUUGAAUCCAUAAAUUUUAAUUGAGCUUAUGGAGGAUAGACUUUUGAGUAAAAACAUCUGUGGAGAGACCUGCCAAAAUUGCGUAAUUUUUGGGCAUGAAUGAAACAGAUGAUUGUUUUUCUUUACAGAAAAGAACACGGCUCGACCUUCUGCGCCAGAAUAAACACCAUUUAUUCAGCUUGAAUCACAUUCUUGAAGAAUUGGCAGAGCUGAAUGGUAAAUAUGUUAAUGAGUGAAAAAAGACGUUAAUAAAACAGUGUGUAGUUAGUCUGGUUUCUAGUUCUUUUAAAAUCCUCAGCAGUCUUAUACGUCAGAUGAUCAGCAGUGCGGAAAACAGGCACAAUUGUGGAUGAUGAUGCUGCAGUGAUGACAGGGAAGAAUGCUUAACUCAUUCUCAGACAGCACAAGGAAGCAGACCCUGACCAGUUUUAAUUAAAAGUACUCAGAGUCCAGGACCCCCUGUGAUGAAGUUACUCCCAGCUCACUGCAUACGUACAUCAGCAGGGAGCCUCUUAACUAUUAUGAGGGGUGUGAUAGCCUGAUGUGGUUACAAGUGUUUAGCCAUAAAGUGAGAUCUGGAGAGAAACUUUGGAUAGUUAAAAAGUAUCAGAAAAGAAAGACUACAACUUCAAAAUCAUCCGGUUAUUCAUGCAUUUCUGCCCUUGAUGAAAAUGUUGAUCCAGGUGAUUCCUUUGCUGCUAGUUGAAUUGUUUAGAGACAGUGGUUUUUCUAUAGGGGAGGACCUCAGAAGGGACAGACACCUCUAUUUUACAGAAAUAUACUGAUGAUAAAUCACGUAUGGACUAUCAAGACCGAGGUUUAUAUUGUGAGUAAUGGGAUUUGUUAAGUGAUAGGGAAGGUUCUUUUGAGUUAUUUUGAGAUCCUGCAAGAGCAGAUCAGGCCGGUCUUUUCUGGCAGAGACUGGUCAGAUCGCCGUCCUCCUGCAGAGCGCUCACACCUAAGCGUAGCCUUUCCAGUGCUUUUAAAUUUUUCCCUCAUCAAAGCCUUUUUUCUCUCUUACUUUUCAUCACUUCAGAAAAACCUUGUCUGCACUGUUCUGCACCAACUCCACUGCUGUAAAAAAUAAUGACUGCUAAAUACCUUCAAAGACUUUUUUUGUGCCUUAGCAACAUACUGUACACUCCUCCUCUCUUCUAUGUUCUCCCCCUUCCUCCUCCUCCUCCUCCUCCUCCUCUCUCCAGUAAAAAGCUGCAUGCACAGCUUUUCUCCCCCUUGUCCGGCCCUGUCCAUGCAGCUGGCAGCCAUUUUCCUGUUUGUUAACACUGUGUUCUCCCAGCCUGUCAGAAGAUGCUGUAUGUCUGGAGUGUGAAGGAACGUGGGACAGAGCGAUGAUGAGUAGGUAUGCUGGAAUGAGCAAAUCCUGCACAUCUUAUGUCAGCUGAACUCAGGAUGACUGUAGGCAGAUUUAUAGGGAACUACAGUAUGUAUCCUGGACGACAUGCAUCACAUAUUGUAAUGCAUUACACGUUGUGUAAGUGCAGAGGGAAGGAACUCGAGCAUGUGCGUGCAAGACCAAGAGCAAGCCCAGGAAGGAUGGAGUGAGAGUAGAUGGAGGUGAGGGAGAAAGUGAAAAGGGUGAAGUGAGAGUGAAGAAGAGAUGACAUCACUGAGAAAAUGCUGAGCUGGAUUCAAGGGCUACUGGAUGAAAUCAGUCCACUUCUACAGUGCACCAAUCUCUCUCUCUCUCUCUCUCUCUUUCUCUCUCUCUCUCUCUUUCUUCUUUUUUUCUCUCU